This is a long non-coding RNA of Dalotia coriaria, 497 nucleotides long. RefSeq lists it as uncharacterized. The transcript is spliced from 2 exons. Lineage: Eukaryota; Metazoa; Arthropoda; Insecta; Coleoptera; Staphylinidae. The record is from RefSeq and is a predicted model, not a curated record.
GUUUUUCGGAAAAGUUGUAUAUGAAAAUUGUAAAGCAUUUUAAUACCUAUAAUAUGAUGUCAAAAUGAAGACGAUGUGACAACGGGUUCAGCUGCGCUGGCUUGAGCUUGCUUCCCGAUGGGUUUAUCACAAAAAUUGUACAUGAAAGUUAUAAAGAAUUGCAAUACUUACAAUUUGAUGUAAGUUCGACUAUCCUACCACCAUAAAUUCACUUGCUAGAAACCAAAAACACACAAAAAUCAGUAAGAAACCUACUAAAAUUACAUUUUGUGGCUUCUCUGUAGGUUAAUCUUGCAAUUUAUACAUUAUAACAAUAUAGACUAUCAAUUCCCACAGUCAAAGACAAGAAUAAACCGUAAAGUAAUGCACAUGUUGUGCAAACUCAUCUGCAUGCUAUUAAAUUUGGGAAUAUUACAUGCACACUAUCUGAAAUAUAAUUUAUUAGUUAUUAAUUUUACAUCCUUAGCAUCAUCAAUAAAUAAAAAUGUUUAAUUAAA